ACCGCGGUAGCCCAGUUGGUAGUGGCGUCGGCAGUAGGUACAGAUGCUGAAGGUCGCAGGUUCUAAUCCUGCCUGCGGUG
Non-coding RNA from Phthorimaea operculella (potato tuberworm), 80 nucleotides. The record is from the annotation of a GenBank genome assembly. Lineage: Eukaryota; Metazoa; Arthropoda; Insecta; Lepidoptera; Gelechiidae.